RNAcentral lists this long non-coding RNA (517 nucleotides) under Homo sapiens (human). RNAcentral's name for it is "HSALNT0062483". The record is from RNAcentral. Lineage: Eukaryota; Metazoa; Chordata; Mammalia; Primates; Hominidae.
UCAUACCACCCUGCAUGUCAUCUUCCUCAGACUUAGCAUCCUAAAAAUGGUUUUCCUGAGAGAGAAUGCAACUCUGAGGGCUUCCCUACUGUGUUCACAUCCCAUGCUUCUGGCACAGUGCCUGACAAGCCGUGGCUCCUCACCAUAGUUGCCUUGUGGAAUGGUCUUAAGAGUGGGAACAUCGCAUGUGAGCUACAGUCAGGAAUCUUUUUCUAUUCUGAAGUAGUUCAUGGAAAGCAUAAAAAUAUGGAAAGAAAGAAUAAAUGUCUUUGGGGGCUGACAGAAAAGAUAGCAGUUUUGCUGGACUUAUUAGGAAAUAUCUUUCUACUUUUUCUCCCAUAUAUAGUGUUUACCAUGGGUGAGGCUAGUCCAGAGGGAGGUGUCAGUUUCCCAAGUAGAGAUAUAAGUCUUUCUAGAGAUCAAAAUAAAUGUGUUCCACAGAACUACAAAAUGCUGGAUAACCUAAGGCCUGGGUUGAAAAAGCCCUCCUAGUGAAAGGCUGUAGUCGAGAAAAGGU